Molecule: long non-coding RNA, 1012 nt
Filed under: Sinocyclocheilus grahami
Lineage: Eukaryota; Metazoa; Chordata; Actinopteri; Cypriniformes; Cyprinidae
Description: lncRNA (ENSSGRG00000001904.1)
Source: RNAcentral
AAGGAAACUUACUGUUUAACUAACUAACAAGGUUUUACUGUAGCAUUUUUACAUUCUUUUACAUGACCAUUUUUAUAGUGUAUAAACUUCGUAAAAAAUCCCUCUAAUCAUCAACACCCAUCCCUCAGAAACUAUAUGUGAUUAUAUGAAAUGAGAUCCAGUUUGAAAGUGAAGUUCUCACUGCUGUUCCCUGUCACUAUGAGCUCUGACUAAUGUUUUCCCCAAGUUUGUCAUUUGGUAAUUACACACAUGAAUGACGGCUGAUCUGAUAGUCCUUCAGAUCUGUUUUCCAUCCCCAAAAUAACACGAUGAUGCAUUCUCACUCUCUCCACAUGCUGAAUUAUGUCAGGCUGUGAUAGUGUACACAGAUGGCCAGGGGAGCACGAUAUUCAGAUCACAGUGACACACAAACACAGAGUAACAUUGAUAUCUAAGACUGCAAUGGAUUUAUAUAUUACUUAAUGUGCUUUGAGGAGCUCUGAAAGAAAUCAUAUUAGUGGCCAUAUCUCUGAAUCAUAGCAUAGUCAGAUCUUCAAACAGCUUUAUUUGUAUUCACACAGUGCUUGAGAUACUUCAGAAAUCCACUCAAAACACCACGUCAUCCGCUCGGCUGCACUUAUGCCGUUCAGAAGCACCUUCACAGUGUUUUGCCGUGAGAUCUUUUUGGAGAUCUUUAGAGUCACCCACACAGACAGCACUGCAACUACAAUAUGGCAUGUUUAUGUGCUAAACUCCUCCCUCUGUGGCUGUUUAUGACGCAAGGUGUGCGUAGAAGGCUGCCUGUGAUCAGCCAGCAGACAUACAUCCUCUCCUCCUCUCCCAUUCUCAUUCAUACUCUCGCUGCCUAACAGUCACUAUGAGCGCAGGAGGAAUCGCAGUUUGCUCUGGCAGCCUGCUGCACUCUUUAGCAGUUAGGACAAAUGGGUUUGUGCAGCAAGUUCGUAAAGCUAACGGAACAGCAGGUAGUCAGCUGUCGACCCCACGGUCAGGCAAAUCCCCCAGUCCAUCUCCC